GUCCCGUUCGUCUAUCGGUUAGGACGUCAGGUUUUCAACCUGAAAAGAGGGGUUCGAUUCCCCUACGGGAUGCCA
Molecule: transfer RNA, 75 nt
Filed under: Lentibacter algarum
Lineage: Bacteria; Pseudomonadati; Pseudomonadota; Alphaproteobacteria; Rhodobacterales; Roseobacteraceae
Also listed under: 15 other names
Description: tRNA-Glu
Rfam family: tRNA
About the family: Transfer RNA (tRNA) molecules are approximately 80 nucleotides in length.
Source: RNAcentral